This 339-nucleotide long non-coding RNA is filed under the name Oryza sativa tropical japonica subgroup. RNAcentral describes it as "lncRNA OsCMeo_04g0001650". The record is from RNAcentral. Lineage: Eukaryota; Viridiplantae; Streptophyta; Magnoliopsida; Poales; Poaceae.
UUGUGCUGUCUAUAUAACCAUGGUAAAACAAAGAAGAAACACAAGCUACAGCUUCAUACAAAGAAAUCACACAAAUGGGCAAGCAGAUGCCGAACUGUAGCCGAGGACUUCCUUCUGUUGUUGGCCCUUCUAGGCUGUUUUAGCAUUCCUGGCCAUGUGCAUGGUACAAAUCUGGAUUACACCAGGAGUGCAUCCCCGAAUGAAGGACGCAAAAAUGUCAAUAUAAAUGGUUUGGUACCCGUACCAUGCAACAUUUUCUCCCCAUCGGAGGUCUGCUGCAGAAAUGUAUGGUACCCUAGCUUGCAAGCCUGUGAGGCAAAUUGCAAGCCAAUUGUUUGA